UCGAGGAUCUUCGGCAAUGGGCGCAAGCCUGACCGAGCGACGCCGCGUGUGCGACGAAGGCCUUCGGGUUGUAAAGCACUGUCGAGAGGGAGAAAAGCCGCAAGGUUUGAUCUAUCUCUGGAGGAAGCACGGGCUAAGUUCGUGCCAGCAGCCGCGGUAAGACGAACCGUGCGAACGUUGUUCGGAAUCACUGGGCUUAAAGGGCGCGUAGGCGGGCGGCCGCGUCCGGGGUGAAAUGCCACGGCUCAACCGUGGAACGGCCUCGGAUACGGGCGGCCUCGAGGGAGGUAGGGGCAUCGGGAACUGUGAGUGGAGCGGUGAAAUGCGUUGAUAUUCACAGGAACUCCGGUGGCGAAGGCGCGGUGCUGGACCUCAUCUGACGCUGAGGCGCGAAAGCCAGGGGAGCGAACGGGAUUAGAUACCCCCGUAGUCC
Molecule: ribosomal RNA, 433 nt
Filed under: uncultured bacterium
Lineage: Bacteria
Description: bacterial SSU rRNA
Rfam family: Bacterial small subunit ribosomal RNA
Source: RNAcentral